AUCCCACCGUUUCUUAAGACUCUCUCUCUUUCUGUUUUCUAUUUCUCUCUCUCUCAAAUGAAAGAGAGAGAAGAGCUCCCAUGGAUGAAAUUAGCGAGACCGAAGUUUCUCCAAGGUGAUAUGUCUAUCUGUAUAUGUGAUACGAAGAGUUAGGGUUUUGUCAUUUCGAAGUCAAUUUUUGUUUGUUUGUCAAUAAUGAUAUCUGAAUGAUGAAGAACACGUAACUAAGAUAUGUUACUGAACUAUAUAAUACAUAUGUGUGUUUUUCUGUAUCUAUUUCUAUAUAUAUGUAGAUGUAGUGUAAGUCUGUUAUAUAGACAUUAUUCAUGUGUACAUGCAUUAUACCAACAUAAAUUUGUAUCAAUACUACUUUUGAUUUACGAUGAUGGAUGUUCUUAGAUAUCUUCAUACGUUUGUUUCCACAUGUAUUUACAACUACAUAUAUAUUUGGAAUCACAUAUAUACUUGAUUAUUAUAGUUGUAAAGAGUAACAAGUUCUUUUUUCAGGCAUUAAGGAAAACAUAACCUCCGUGAUGCAUAGAGAUUAUUGGAUCCGCUGUGCUGAGACAUUGAGUUUUUCUUCGGCAUUCCAGUUUCAAUGAUAAAGCGGUGUUAUCCUAUCUGAGCUUUUAGUCGGAUUUUUUCUUUUCAAUUAUUGUGUUUUAUCUAGAUGAUGCAUUUCAUUAUUCUCUUUUUCUUGACCUUGUAAGGCCUUUUCUUGACCUUGUAAGACCCCAUCUCUUUCUAAACGUUUUAUUAUUUUCUCGUUUUACAGAUUCUAUUCUAUCUCUUCUCAAUAUAGAAUAGAUAUCUAUCUCUACCUCUAAUUCGUUCGAGUCAUUUUCUCCUACCUUGUCUAUCCCUCCUGAGCUAAUCUCCACAUAUAUCUUUUGUUUGUUAUUGAUGUAUGGUUGACAUAAAUUCAAUAAAGAAGUUGACGUUUUUCU
Arabidopsis thaliana (thale cress) is the source of this 947-nucleotide non-coding RNA. The record is from RefSeq. NCBI's taxonomy places the organism in Eukaryota, Viridiplantae, Streptophyta, Magnoliopsida, Brassicales, Brassicaceae.